UACGGGGGGAGCAAGCGUUGUUCGGAUUUACUGGGCGUAAAGGGCGCGUAGGCGGCGCAACAAGUCACUUGUGAAAUCUCCGGGCUUAACUCGGAAAGGUCAAGUGAUACUGUUGUGCUAGAGUGCGGAAGGGGCAACUGGAAUUCUCGGUGUAGCGGUGAAAUGCGUAGAUAUCGAGAGGAACACCUGCGGCGAAGGCGGCCUGCUGGGCAGUGGCUGACACUGAGGCGCGACAGCGUGGGGAGCAAACAGG
RNAcentral lists this ribosomal RNA (253 nucleotides) under uncultured bacterium. RNAcentral describes it as "partial 16S ribosomal RNA". It matches the Rfam family "Bacterial small subunit ribosomal RNA", at positions 524 to 776 of the family's 1533-position model. The record is from RNAcentral.